AGAGUUUGAUCCUGGCUCAGGACGAACGCUGGCGGCGUGCCUAACACAUGCAAGUCGAACGGAGAUAUUGAUUUCGGUUAAUAUCUUAGUGGCGAACGGGUGAGUAACGCGUGAACAAUCUGACCUUAAGAGGGGGAUAACAACGAGAAAUCGUUGCUAAUACCGCAUAAGACCACAACGCCGCAUGACGAAGGGGUCAAAGGAGCAAUCCGCUUAAGGAGGGGUUCGCGUCCCAUUAGGUAGUAGGUGAGGUAACGGCCCACCUAGCCUGCGAUGGGUAGCCGAGCUGAGAGGCUGAUCGGCCACACUGGAACUGAGAUACGGUCCAGACUCCUACGGGAGGCAGCAGUGGGGAAUAUUGGGCAAUGGGCGCAAGCCUGACCCAGCAACGCCGCGUGAGGGAAGAAGGUUUUCGGAUUGUAAACCUCUGUUGCAGAUGACGAAGGAAGUGACGGUAAUCUGUGAGGAAGCCCCGGCUAACUACGUGCCAGCAGCCGCGGUAAUACGUAGGGGGCGAGCGUUGUCCGGAAUUACUGGGCGUAAAGGGAGCGUAGGCGGUUUAUUAAGUUGGAUGUGAAAUACCCGGGCUUAACUUGGGGGGUGCAUCCAAUACUGGUGAACUAGAGUACAGGAGAGGAAAGCGGAAUUCCUAGUGUAGCGGUGAAAUGCAUAGAUAUUAGGAGGAACAUCGGUGGCGAAGGCGGCUUUCUGGACUGACACUGACGCUGAGGCUCGAAAGCGUGGGGAGCAAACAGGGUUAGAUACCCUGGUAGUCCACGCUGUAAACGAUGAAUACUAGGUGUAGGGGGUGUAAACUCCCUCUGUGCCGCAGCAAACGCAAUAAGUAUUCCGCCUGGGAAGUACGAUCGCAAGAUUAAAACUCAAAGGAAUUGACGGGGGCCCGCACAAGCAGCGGAGCAUGUGGUUUAAUUCGAAGCAACGCGAAGAACCUUACCUGGACUUGACAUACCCUGAAUAUCUUAGAGAUAAGAGAAGCCCUUCGGGGCAGGGAUACAGGUGGUGCAUGGUUGUCGUCAGCUCGUGUCGUGAGAUGUUGGGUUAAGUCCCGCAACGAGCGCAACCCUUGUUGAUAGUUGCCAGCGUAGAGACGGGCACUCUAUCGAGACUGCCGUGGAGAACGCGGAGGAAGGUGGGGAUGACGUCAAAUCAUCAUGCCCCUUAUGUCCAGGGCAACACACGUGCUACAAUGGGCAGUACAGAGAGAAGCAAGACCGCAAGGUGGAGCAAACCUCAAAAACUGCCCCCAGUUCGGAUUGCAGGCUGAAACUCGCCUACAUGAAGUUGGAGUUGCUAGUAAUCGCGAAUCAGAAUGUCGCGGUGAAUACGUUCCCGGGCCUUGUACACACCGCCCGUCACACCAUGAGAGCUGGCAACACCCGAAGUCCGUAGUCUAACUUAGGAGGACGCGGCCGAAGGUGGGGUUAGUAAUUGGGGUGAAGUCGUAACAAGGUAACC
RNAcentral lists this ribosomal RNA (1476 nucleotides) under uncultured bacterium. Its description in RNAcentral is "bacterial SSU rRNA". It matches the Rfam family "Bacterial small subunit ribosomal RNA". The record is from RNAcentral.